CCCUUAGAUGUUCGGGGCCGCACGCGCGCUACACUGAAGGAAUCAGCACGUCUUUCUCCUUGUCCGAAAGGACUGGGUAACCCGCUGAACCUCCUUCGUGCUAGGGAUUGGGGCUUGUAAUUCUUCCCCAUGAACGAGGAAUUCCCAGUAAGCGCGAGUCAUAAGCUCGCGUUGAUUACGUCCCUGCCCCUUGUACACACCGCCCGUCGCUACUACCGAUUGGAUGGUUUAGUGAGAUCCUCGGAUUGGUCCCGGCGCGGCCUCUGGUCGUGCCGGAGUGCCGAAAAGAAUGUCGAACUUGAUCAUCUAGAGGAAGUAAAAGUCGUAACA
Molecule: ribosomal RNA, 330 nt
Filed under: uncultured eukaryote
Lineage: Eukaryota
Description: partial 18S ribosomal RNA
Rfam family: Eukaryotic small subunit ribosomal RNA
Source: RNAcentral